UCCGGCUUAUCACCGGCAGUUUUCUCAGAGUUCUCGCCAUUACGCGUUAGCAACAGAGAAUGAGGGUUGCGCUCGUUGCGGGACUUAACCCAACAUCUCACGACACGAGCUGACGACAGCCAUGCAGCACCUGUGCACCUCCCACCCGAAGUGAAAGAAAACAUUUCUGCUUUCUAUAGAGGGCAUGUCAAGACCUGGUAAGGUUCUUCGCGUUGCCUCGAAUUAAACCACAUGUUCCACCGCUUGUGCGGGUCCCCGUCAAUUUCUUUGAGUUUUAAUCUUGCGACCGUACUCCCCAGGCGGGGUGCUUAACGCGUUAGCUACGCUACUGAGAGGUAACCUCCCAACAGCUAGCACCCAUCGUUUACAGCGUGGACUAC
RNAcentral lists this unclassified non-coding RNA (380 nucleotides) under uncultured Rickettsiales bacterium. RNAcentral describes it as "contains 16S-23S intergenic spacer region". The record is from RNAcentral. Lineage: Bacteria; Pseudomonadati; Pseudomonadota; Alphaproteobacteria; Rickettsiales.